RNAcentral lists this ribosomal RNA (386 nucleotides) under uncultured bacterium. RNAcentral's name for it is "bacterial SSU rRNA". It matches the Rfam family "Bacterial small subunit ribosomal RNA", at positions 28 to 417 of the family's 1533-position model. The record is from RNAcentral.
GACGAACGCUGGCGGCGUGCUUAACACAUGCAAGUCGAGCGGUAAGGCCCUUUCGGGGGUACACGAGCGGCGAACGGGUGAGUAACACGUGGGUGACCUGCCCUCAGCUCUGGGAUAAGCCUGGGAAACCGGGUCUAAUACCGGAUAUGACUCCACGGCGCAUGUUGUGGGGUGGAAAGCCUUGUGCGGCUGAGGAUGGGCCCGCGGCCUAUCAGCUUGUUGGUGGGGUGAUGGCCACCAAGGCGACGACGGGUAGCCGGCCUGAGAGGGCGACCGGCCACACUGGGACUGAGACACGGCCCAGACUCCUACGGGAGGCAGCAGUGGGAAUCUUGCGCAAUGGGCGAAAGCCUGACGCAGCGACGCCGCGUGAGGGAUGACGGCCU